This 99-nucleotide signal recognition particle RNA is filed under the name uncultured archaeon. Its description in RNAcentral is "Bacteria_small_SRP". It matches the Rfam family "Bacterial small signal recognition particle RNA". From Rfam's summary of the family: The signal recognition particle (SRP) is a universally conserved ribonucleoprotein involved in the co-translational targeting of proteins to membranes. Archaeal SRP consists of a 7S RNA and homologues of the eukaryotic SRP19 and SRP54 proteins. In most bacteria, the SRP consists of a 4.5S RNA and the Ffh protein (a homologue of the eukaryotic SRP54 protein). The record is from RNAcentral.
GGUUCUGUCCGGCAGGAUUGUGUCUGCAGGAAUCUGGCCAGGACCUGACGGUAGCAACCAUAACUGUAGUUCUCAAUGCUUGUCGGGUUGCGGAGCUGA